This 83-nucleotide transfer RNA is filed under the name Synergistes sp. RNAcentral's name for it is "tRNA-Leu". It matches the Rfam family "tRNA". From Rfam's summary of the family: Transfer RNA (tRNA) molecules are approximately 80 nucleotides in length. The record is from RNAcentral. Lineage: Bacteria; Thermotogati; Synergistota; Synergistia; Synergistales; Synergistaceae.
GCGGGGAUGGCGGAACUGGCAGACGCGCAAGACUUAGGAUCUUGUCCGCAAGGGUGGGGGUUCAAUUCCCCCUCCCCGCACCA